AGGGAAGGAAACUCUGAAGGACAAACAAGCUCAGCCCCUGGCCAGUGCCCAGCCCAGUGGAGAGGCACCUUGCUGUCCCCCCUCGCCCCGUCUGAGCACGCCAGCACUCACUGAAUGGCGAGCGUGUCCCAGCUCUGGGUGCGCAGGAGCGCGGAGGGCCACAAGAAGGAGGAAGGAACCGCCUGCCUUCCAGAAGCUUCCCACCUAGGAACUAUCCAGUAACGAAAAGACAGCUGGCCGAGUAGUAAGGGCUGUUACCUGCUGUGGGGGGCAUGGGAGACCAGGAAGGGGUUCUUUGGGGGGGCACUCUGAAUGGUGUGAGGAAGGCUUCCUUAAUAAACUCAGGGCGUGUGGGCCAAGGCACCAGGACAGAGGGGCACAGCCACCAGCAACGAACCUCCUUGGGGGCCAGACGUCAGGGCAGAGCAGGAGGGAGAGGAAAACAGUAACAGAUGAGUAAACAGAUGUUUAUUUAGCACCUACUGCAGGCCAGGUUUGUGUGCAUUAUUUCACUCAAACUUUCCAACAAUCUUACAGAGUGAGAGUCCUAUGGUCCAGAUCCAGGGGCCCAGACAGGGUUAGAAACGCGAGUGAGAUCACUUAGCCAGUGAACGGUGGGGCAAACGUUCAAAUCCAGGUCUGCCUGGCGUCAGAAUCCCUGCUUUUUCUGCUUUGCCACCUCUCCGCACCGCCCAGCUACAGCCCGGCCGGGCUCCACAGGCCAAGGGGGUAGCAGAGGACACGCGCAGCCGCCUCCCCAGGUGUUCCCACUGACCGCUCCCUCUGGGCCGGCCCGCUUCCGGCCGGGACCAGGAGGCAGACGAGAUUGGGCCCCCGCCCUCGGAGAAGGCGUACUUCGUGGGAAAGCAGACGCAUCAGCAAGCCCUCCCGUUGUAAGGUCAGGACGACUGCAGUCUGGCAGAACGCUGUGAAAGUGCCCACUCGAGGGGGGGUGUCCUCUGAGCUGUUUCGGAAGAGGAGUCGAGCUGAGGAAUGAGGAGGUGGGGAAGGACACUCUGGGCGGCGGAAAGAACGGUCUGGAAACAAAGCGGCGGCCGCUGACCCCACCGUGACGACGACCCCGCUAAGUCGUCUUGGGUUCGCCCAAGCAUCUGCGUCGCCAGGGGAACGGAGCCACAGCAUCUGCGUCGCCAGGGGAACGGAGACCGGGGAGACGCCAGCAGCUGGACUGCGGAGCUAGACACGCUCCCACAAACGGCUCCGCCACUGGGAGAUGGAGUUCUGACCGACACAGGAACACAAAAGCAAGUGCCAGCAGCCACCAUCACCAGCCGCCCAGACACCAACUCAUGCUUCCGAAAUCUCCCAAUGUCGACUCCACACAGAGAGCCGUCAAGCUGCCCACGCAGGCCAC
This is a long non-coding RNA of Phyllostomus hastatus (greater spear-nosed bat), 1375 nucleotides long. RefSeq lists it as uncharacterized. The transcript has 3 exons. Lineage: Eukaryota; Metazoa; Chordata; Mammalia; Chiroptera; Phyllostomidae. The record is from RefSeq and is a predicted model, not a curated record.